CAAGAUUAGCAUGACCGCUGUGCAAGGAUGACAUGCAAAUUUGUGAAGUGUUCCAUAUUAAA
This 62-nucleotide small nuclear RNA is filed under the name Vicugna pacos (alpaca). The record is from RNAcentral. Lineage: Eukaryota; Metazoa; Chordata; Mammalia; Artiodactyla; Camelidae.